UCCUUUCCAGAUAACAGAGGCAAUGAGACUGUGGAGAGAGACCAGCUACAGACCAGUUACAACACACUGACUGAAGAGAGAGACCAGCUACAGACCAGUUACAAAACCCUGACUGAAGAGGAGACCAGCUAAAACCCAUUUACAACAUUCUGACUAAAGAGAGACCAGCUACAGACCAGUUACAACACCCUGACUAAAGAGAGAGACCAGCUACAGAUCAGUUACAACACCCUGACUAAAGAGAGAGACCAGCUACAGAUCAGUUACAACACCCUGACUAAAGAGAGAGACCAGCUACAGAUGGAUAGAGAUGAUCUCACGUCAAAGUUCUCUAAUCUGAAACAAACCUGUCCUGAAGGCUGGCAGAUUAAGUUGGAAUCCAGUUGGUACUUCCUGUCUACUGAGACUAAAAGCUGGAAGGAGAGCAGACAGGACUGUCUGAAGAGAGGAGCAGACCUGGUGAUCAUAAACAGUGAUUUGGAACAGGAGUUUCUCUUAAGCUUCAAUAAGAGAGCCUGGAUUGGUCUGACUGACUCUGUUACUGAGGGGGCCUGGAAAUGGGUGGACGGCACCCCACUGACCAUCCCAAGGUAAGAGACUACUGCUCUAUAAUAACAAUAA
This is a long non-coding RNA of Oncorhynchus nerka (sockeye salmon), 621 nucleotides long. RefSeq lists it as uncharacterized. The transcript has 3 exons. NCBI's taxonomy places the organism in Eukaryota, Metazoa, Chordata, Actinopteri, Salmoniformes, Salmonidae. The record is from RefSeq and is a predicted model, not a curated record.